GAUGAAGAACGUAGCGAAAUGCGAUAAGUAAUGUGAAUUGCAGAAUUCAGUGAAUCAUCGAAUCUUUGAACGCACAUUGCGCCCAUUAGUAUUCUAGUGGGCAUGCCUGUUCGAGCGUCAUUAAUUCCACUUAAGCCCUGCUUAGUGUUGGGAAUCUACUCUAGUGGUGCUACCCUGGAGCUACCCCUGAAAGGGGGCUGGCCCGGUAGCUACCCUGUAGUUCCUCAAAGAUAGUGCGCGGAGUUGCGUGUCCUCUGAGCUUAGUAACUAUACACCUAGCUUUUGAGUGUCCCGCGGCGCCUGCCGUUUAAACCCCAUCUUUUAAUGGUUGACCUCGGAUCAGGUAGGAAUACCCGCUGAACUUAAGCAUAUCAAUAAGCGGAGGA
RNAcentral lists this unclassified non-coding RNA (386 nucleotides) under soil metagenome. Its description in RNAcentral is "partial contains 5.8S ribosomal RNA, internal transcribed spacer 2, and large subunit ribosomal RNA". The stretch from base 1 to 120 matches the Rfam family "5.8S ribosomal RNA", at positions 35 to 154 of the family's 154-position model. The record is from RNAcentral.